UACAGAGGUCUCAAGCGUUGUUCGGAUUCAUUGGGCGUAAAGGGUGCGUAGGUGGCGCCGUAAGUCAGGUGUGAAAUUUCGGAGCUUAACUCCGAAACUGCAUUUGAUACUGCGGUGCUUGAGGACUGGAGAGGAGACUGGAAUUUCCGGUGUAGCGGUGAAAUGCGUAGAUAUCGGAAGGAACACCAGUGGCGAAGGCGAAUCUCUGGACAGUUCCUGACGCUGAGGCACGAAGGCCAGGGGAGCAAACGGG
Molecule: ribosomal RNA, 253 nt
Filed under: uncultured bacterium
Lineage: Bacteria
Description: partial 16S ribosomal RNA
Rfam family: Bacterial small subunit ribosomal RNA
Source: RNAcentral